CGUUAGGGAGCGUGGGAGCGGCGUCUCUGGUUACGGGGUCGGGCAAAGGUUAAAGGGCAGCCUCCGAGUUGGAGAGCGCGGACUUUGAGCAAUGGCCGCGUCUGGGGAACCCGGGAAGCAGAAGCAGGAGGACGUGGCGGCAGUUGUGGUGGUGGGCUCCUGCAUGACCGACCUGGUCAGCCUGACUUCUCGUUUGCCAAAAACUGGAGAAACCGUCCAUGGACAUAAGUUUUUUAUUGGCUUUGGAGGGAAAGGUGCCAACCAGUGUGUCCAGGCUGCUCGGCUUGGAGCAAAAACGUCCAUGGUGUGCAAGGUUGGCAAAGACUCCUUUGGCAAUAACUAUAUAGAAAAUUUAAAACAGAAUGGUAUUUCUACAGAAUUUACAUAUCAGACUAAAGAUGCUGCGACAGGAACUGCUUCUAUAAUUGUCAAUAAUGAAGGCCAGAAUAUCAUCGUCAUAGUGGCUGGAGCAAAUUUACUUUUGAAUACUGAAGACCUGAGGGAAGCAGCCAGUGCCAUUAGCAGAGCCAAAGUAAUGAUCUGCCAGCUAGAAGUAGCUCCGGCAACUUCUUUGGAAGCCCUGACAAUAGCCCAUAGCAAUGGAGUGAAAACAUUGUUCAACCCAGCUCCUGCCAUGGCUGACCUGGACCCCAGGUUCUACACCCUCUCAGAUGUGUUCUGCUGCAAUGAAAGUGAGGCUGAGAUUCUGACCGGCCUGGAGGUCAGCAGCCCAGAGGAUGCUGGGAAAGCAGCGCUGGUGCUCACGGAAAGGGGCUGCCGGGUCGUAAUCGUCACCUUAGGUGCUGAAGGAUGUGUGAUGCUGUCACAGACAGAACCUGUCCCAAAGCACAUCCCUACAGAGAAAGUCAAGGCUGUGGAUACCACGGGAAGGCCGGAAGGUUGAGGAUGGAAAGGACAUGAUGUCAUCCUUAUGAUGUGAAUAUGCGCUGAUAAGAAAAGAGAGAAAUAUUCAGAUUUGCGCUGUGAAACGGAGCUCUUGUGAAAGCAGCAUCCUAUCUCGUGGGUGCUGGUGACAGUUUUGUGGGAGCUUUGGCCUUCUACCUGGCUUACUACCCAAAUCUGUCCUUGGAAGAAAUGCUCAAGAGAUCCAAUUUCAUCGCAGCAGUCAGUGUCCAGGCCACAGGAACACAGU
Vicugna pacos (alpaca) is the source of this 1153-nucleotide non-coding RNA. Lineage: Eukaryota; Metazoa; Chordata; Mammalia; Artiodactyla; Camelidae. The record is from RefSeq and is a predicted model, not a curated record.